AUUUAAAUAGUUUAAUUUUAAAAUUUUAAUUUGUGAUGUUAAAGAUUUAUUUAUAAUAAUUUAAAUU
RNAcentral lists this transfer RNA (67 nucleotides) under Spathius agrili (emerald ash borer parasitic wasp). RNAcentral describes it as "tRNA-His". The record is from RNAcentral. Lineage: Eukaryota; Metazoa; Arthropoda; Insecta; Hymenoptera; Braconidae.